AUGCUUGCUUCAACAGCACAUAAACUAAAAUUGGAACGAUACAGAGAAGAUUAGCAUGGCCCCUGUGCAAGGAUGACAUGCAAAUUCGUGAAGCGUUCCAUAUUUUU
This 107-nucleotide small nuclear RNA is filed under the name Cavia aperea (Brazilian guinea pig). The record is from RNAcentral. Lineage: Eukaryota; Metazoa; Chordata; Mammalia; Rodentia; Caviidae.